This 253-nucleotide ribosomal RNA is filed under the name uncultured bacterium. Its description in RNAcentral is "partial 16S ribosomal RNA". It matches the Rfam family "Bacterial small subunit ribosomal RNA", at positions 524 to 776 of the family's 1533-position model. The record is from RNAcentral.
CACGUAGGGGGCGAGCGUUGUCCGGAAUUAUUGGGCGUAAAGAGCUCGUAGGCGGUCUGUCACGUCUGCUGUGAAAACUCGGGGCUUAACCCCGGGCCUGCAGUGGGUACGGGCAGACUAGAGUGCGGUAGGGGAGACUGGAAUUCCUGGUGUAGCGGUGAAAUGCGCAGAUAUCAGGAGGAACACCGGUGGCGAAGGCGGGUCUCUGGGCCGUAACUGACGCUGAGGAGCGAAAGCGUGGGGAGCGAACAGG